CAAUAGCGUAUAUUAAAGUUGUUGCAGUUAAAAAGCUCGUAGUUGGAUUUCUGGUAGGAGCGACCGUGCCGAACUUGAUUGUUCGAGUAUUGUGUUGUCUUCAGCCAUCCUCGUGGAGAACUUUUCUAACAUUAACUUGUUGGGAUUGGGACCCGCGUCGGUUACUGUGAAAAAAUUAGAGUGUUUAAAGCAGGCAUUAGCUUGAAUACAUUAGCAUGGAAUAAUAAGAUAGGACUUUGGUACUAUUUUGUUGGUUUGCAUACCAAAUUAAUGAUCAACAGGAACAGUUUGAGGAUAUUCGUAUGAACAUGUCAGAGGUGAAAUUCUUGGAUUUUGAUCAGACGAACUACUGCGAAAGCAUUUAUCAAGGAUGUUUUCAUUAA
Molecule: ribosomal RNA, 383 nt
Filed under: uncultured eukaryote
Lineage: Eukaryota
Description: partial 18S ribosomal RNA
Rfam family: Eukaryotic small subunit ribosomal RNA
Source: RNAcentral